Euleptes europaea (tarantolino) is the source of this 71-nucleotide small nucleolar RNA. RefSeq annotates it as small nucleolar RNA SNORD5. The transcript has a single exon. The record is from RefSeq and is a predicted model, not a curated record. Lineage: Eukaryota; Metazoa; Chordata; Lepidosauria; Squamata; Sphaerodactylidae.
GUUCAUGUGAUGAUUGUUCUGUUCAACUGCUGAGUGAUUCAGAAAUGAACUAAACUAACAUUCUGACCUGA